Molecule: ribosomal RNA, 408 nt
Filed under: uncultured bacterium
Lineage: Bacteria
Description: partial 16S ribosomal RNA
Rfam family: Bacterial small subunit ribosomal RNA
Source: RNAcentral
GACGAACGCUGGCGGCGUGCUUAACACAUGCAAGUCGAACGAAGUGGCGAACGGGUGAGUAACGCGUAAUCAACCUGCCCUUCAGAGGGGGACAACAGUUGGAAACGACUGCUAAUACCGCUUACUGAAUGGGUGGUUUGCGGCUGAUUAGCUAGUUGGCGGGGUAACGGCCCACCAAGGCGAUGAUCCGUCGACGGUCUGAGAGGAUGAACCGCCACAUUGGGACUGAGACACGGCCCCGACUCCUACGGGAGGCAAGCAGUGGGAAUCUUCCGCAAUUGACGAAAGUCUGACGGCGCAAAGGCGCGGUGGUGAUGACGGGCUUCGGGUUGUUAAGCUCUGUUAAGCGGGACGCGGUACCGGAAGAGAAAGCCACGGCUAACUACGUGCCAGCAGCCGCGGUAAUAC